RNAcentral lists this ribosomal RNA (1390 nucleotides) under uncultured bacterium. RNAcentral describes it as "partial 16S ribosomal RNA". It matches the Rfam family "Bacterial small subunit ribosomal RNA". The record is from RNAcentral.
AGUUUGAUCCUGGCUCAGGAUGACCUCUGGCGGCGUGCUUAACACAUGCAAGUCGAACGAAGCACAGAUGUAGAAUUUCUUCGGAAAGGAAGCGCCUGUGACUGAGUGGCGGACGGGUGAGUAACGCGUGGGCAACCUGCCCCAUACCGGGGGACAACAGCUGGAAACGGCUGCUAAUACCGCAUACGUUUUCGGUGCCGCAUGGUGCCGAAAAGAAAACUCCGGUGGUAUGGGAUGGGCCCGCGUCUGAUUAGCUAGUUGGGAGGGUAACGGCCUACCAAGGCGACGAUCAGUAGCCGGCCUGAGAGGGCGACCGGCCACAUUGGGACUGAGACACGGCCCAGACUCCUGCGGGAGGCAGCAGUGGGGAAUAUUGCACAAUGGGGGAAACCCUGAUGCAGCGACGCCGCGUGAGCGAAGAAGUACCUCGGUAUGUAAAGCUCUAUCAGCAGGGAAGAAAGUGACAGUACCUGACUAAGAAGCCCCGGCUAACUACGUGCCAGCAGCCGCGGUAAUACGUAGGAUGCGAGCGUUAUCCGGAUUUAUUGGGUUUAAAGGGUGCGCAGGCGGACUGUUAAGUCAGCGGUAAAAUGUCGGUGCUCAACACCGGCCGGCCGUUGAAACUGGCAGCCUUGAGUGAGCGAGAAGUAUGCGGAAUGCGUGGUGUAGCGGUGAAAUGCAUAGAUAUCACGCAGAACACCGAUUGCGAAGGCAGCAUGCCGGCUUCCUACUGACGCUGAAGCACGAAAGCGUGGGGAUCGAACAGGAUUAGAUACCCUGGUAGUCCACGCGGUAAACGAUGAGCGCUAGGUGUCCGGGGGGAAUGGCCCCUGGGUGCCACAGCGAAAGCGUUAAGCGCUCCACCUGGGGAGUACGCCGGCAACGGUGAAACUCAAAGGAAUUGACGGGGGCCCGCACAAGCGGAGGAACAUGUGGUUUAAUUCGAUGAUACGCGAGGAACCUUACCCGGGCUCAAACGUUGCAGGAAGGGCUUCUGAAAGGAAGCCCGUCUACGGACCUGCAACGAGGUGCUGCAUGGUUGUCGUCAGCUCGUGCCGUGAGGUGUCGGCUUAAGUGCCAUAACGAGCGCAACCCCUACCGCCAGUUGCCAACAGGCAAAGCUGGGGACUCUGGCGGGACUGCCGGCGCAAGCUGCGAGGAAGGCGGGGAUGACGUCAAAUCAGCACGGCCCUUACGUCCGGGGCGACACACGUGUUACAAUGGCAGGUACAGCGGGAAGCCACCUGGCGACAGGGAGCGGAACCCGAAAGCCUGUCUCAGUUCGGAUUGGAGUCUGCAACCCGACUCCAUGAAGCUGGAUUCGCUAGUAAUCGCGCAUCAGCCACGGCGCGGUGAAUACGUUCCCGGGCCUUGCACUCACCGCCCGUCA